GUGAGGAAUAUUGGUCAAUGGGCGGGAGCCUGAACCAGCCAAGUCGCGUGAAGGAAGAAGGAUCUAUGGUUCGUAAACUUCUUUUGCAGGGGAAUAAAGUGCAGGACGUGUCCUGUUUUGUAUGUACCCUGAGAAUAAGGAUCGGCUAACUCCGUGCCAGCAGCCGCGGUAAUACGGAGGAUCCGAGCGUUAUCCGGAUUUAUUGGGUUUAAAGGGUGCGUAGGUGGUUUGAUAAGUCAGCGGUGAAAGUUUGCAGCUUAACUGUAAAAACGCCGUUGAAACUGUCGGACUUGAGUGUAAAUGAGGUAGGCGGAAUGCGUGGUGUAGCGGUGAAAUGCAUAGAUAUCACGCAGAACUCCGAUUGCGAAGGCAGCUUACUAAGCUACAACUGACACUGAAGCACGAAAGCGUGGGGAUCAAACAGGAUUAGAUACCCCGGUAGUCC
This 445-nucleotide ribosomal RNA is filed under the name uncultured bacterium. RNAcentral's name for it is "partial 16S ribosomal RNA". It matches the Rfam family "Bacterial small subunit ribosomal RNA", at positions 354 to 796 of the family's 1533-position model. The record is from RNAcentral.